GAACUUGUUCCUGAUGAAAGGAUUCCUAGCUGAUAAUUAGGGCAUAGGGGGUUAGAGUCCCCCCAAGUUUU
RNAcentral lists this transfer RNA (71 nucleotides) under Henricia leviuscula. RNAcentral's name for it is "tRNA-Ile". It matches the Rfam family "tRNA". Rfam says of the family: Transfer RNA (tRNA) molecules are approximately 80 nucleotides in length. Their secondary structure includes four short double-helical elements and three loops (D, anti-codon, and T loops). Further hydrogen bonds mediate the characteristic L-shaped molecular structure. tRNAs have two regions of fundamental functional importance: the anti-codon, which is responsible for specific mRNA codon recognition, and the 3' end, to which the tRNAs corresponding amino acid is attached (by aminoacyl-tRNA synthetases). tRNAs cope with the degeneracy of the genetic code in two manners: having more than one tRNA (with a specific anti-codon) for a particular amino acid; and 'wobble' base-pairing, i.e. permitting non-standard base-pairing at the 3rd anti-codon position. The record is from RNAcentral. Lineage: Eukaryota; Metazoa; Echinodermata; Asteroidea; Spinulosida; Echinasteridae.